UCCAACGGAGGAUGUACGGUGAAGAGAUUUCGGUCAAUCAUGUGCAUCUUUAGUGGCGGACGGGUGAGUAACGCGUGGGUAACCUGCCUUACACAGGGGGAUAACACUCACAAAUAUGUGCUAAUACCGCAUGAGCGCACAGGACCGCAUGGUCGAGUGUGAAAAACUGAGGUGGUGUAAGAUGGACCCGCGUCUGAUUACCUAGUUGGUGAGGUAACGGCCCACCAAGGCGACGAUCAGUAGCCGGCCCGAGAGGGUGGACGGCCACAUUGGGACUGAGACACGGCCCAAACUCCUACGGGAGGCAGCAGUGGGGGAUAUUCGACAAUGGGGGGAACCCUGAUCCAGCGACGCCGCGUGAGUGAAGAAGUAUCUCGGUACCCCAAGCUCUAUCAGCAGGGAAGAAAGAAAUG
This 413-nucleotide ribosomal RNA is filed under the name uncultured bacterium. Its description in RNAcentral is "bacterial SSU rRNA". It matches the Rfam family "Bacterial small subunit ribosomal RNA", at positions 48 to 456 of the family's 1533-position model. The record is from RNAcentral.